GCCAGGCACGGUGGAGCAUGCCUGUAGUCCCAGCUACUCGGGAGGCUGAGGUGGGAGGAUCGCUUGAGCCCAGGAGUUCUGGGCUGUAGUGCGCUAUGCCUGUCAGGUGUCCGCACUAAGUUCAGCAUCAAUAUGGUGACCUCCCGGGAGUGGGGGACCACCAGGUUGCCCAAGGAGGGGUGAACCGGCCCAGGUUGGAAACGGAGCAGGUCAGAACUCCUGUGCUGAUCAGUAGUGGGAUCGUGCCUGUGAAUAGCCACUGCACUCUGGCCUGGGCAACAGAGAUCCCGUCUCU
This 295-nucleotide signal recognition particle RNA is filed under the name Saimiri boliviensis boliviensis (Bolivian squirrel monkey). RNAcentral's name for it is "Metazoan signal recognition particle RNA (ENSSBOG00000000859.1)". It matches the Rfam family "Metazoan signal recognition particle RNA". From Rfam's summary of the family: The signal recognition particle (SRP) is a universally conserved ribonucleoprotein. It is involved in the co-translational targeting of proteins to membranes. Lineage: Eukaryota; Metazoa; Chordata; Mammalia; Primates; Cebidae. The record is from RNAcentral.